Molecule: ribosomal RNA, 173 nt
Filed under: Phytomonas sp. isolate Ehise
Lineage: Eukaryota; Euglenozoa; Kinetoplastea; Trypanosomatida; Trypanosomatidae
Description: 5.8S ribosomal RNA
Rfam family: 5.8S ribosomal RNA
About the family: 5.8S ribosomal RNA (5.8S rRNA) is a component of the large subunit of the eukaryotic ribosome. It is transcribed by RNA polymerase I as part of the 45S precursor that also contains 18S and 28S rRNA.
Source: RNAcentral
CAACGUGUCGCGAUGGAUGACUUGGCUUCCUAUUUCGUUGAAGAACGCAGCAAAGUGCGAUAAGUGGUAUCAAUUGCAGAACCAUCCAAUUACCGAAUCUUUGAACGCAAACGGCGCAUGGGAGAAGCCCUCUGCGGGUGACCCCCGUGCAUGCCACAUCCUCAGUGUCGAAC